UACAGGGGGUGCAAGCGUUGCUCGGAAUCACUGGGCGUAAAGCGCACGUAGGCGGCUUCUUAAGUCAGGGGUGAAAUCCUGGGGCUCAACCCCAGAACUGCCCUUGAUACUGAGGAGCUUGAGUCCGGGAGAGGUGAGUGGAACUCCGAGUGUAGAGGUGAAAUUCGUAGAUAUUCGGAAGAACACCAGUGGCGAAGGCGGCUCACUGGCCCGGUACUGACGCUGAGGUGCGAAAGCGUGGGGAGCAAACAGG
This 253-nucleotide ribosomal RNA is filed under the name uncultured bacterium. Its description in RNAcentral is "partial 16S ribosomal RNA". It matches the Rfam family "Bacterial small subunit ribosomal RNA", at positions 524 to 776 of the family's 1533-position model. The record is from RNAcentral.